AGGACGAACGCUGGCGGCGUGCUUAACACAUGCAAGUCGAGCGGAAAGGCCCUUCGGGGUACUCGAGCGGCGAACGGGUGAGUAACACGUGGGCAACCUGCCCCUAGCUCUGGGAUAACUCCGGGAAACCGGUGCUAAAUACCAGAUACGACCACUUUAGACAUCUGCUGUGGUGGAAAGAAUUUCGGCUAGGGAUGAGCUCGCGGCCUAUCAGCUUGUUGGUGAGGUAACGGCUCACCAAGGCGACGACGGGUA
This 255-nucleotide ribosomal RNA is filed under the name uncultured bacterium. Its description in RNAcentral is "partial small subunit ribosomal RNA". It matches the Rfam family "Bacterial small subunit ribosomal RNA", at positions 26 to 285 of the family's 1533-position model. The record is from RNAcentral.